RNAcentral lists this ribosomal RNA (545 nucleotides) under uncultured bacterium. RNAcentral's name for it is "bacterial LSU rRNA". It matches the Rfam family "Bacterial large subunit ribosomal RNA", at positions 287 to 830 of the family's 2925-position model. The record is from RNAcentral.
CGGAGUGUGGAGAGGAUGAGCUCGCGAGGGGCGGGACGGGUUCCAAUCCGUCGUGGAAGGGCGGAGGCGACGGAGGGCGACUUCCCCGUACGUGCUCGGUCCGUCCCGACGAGCGAACGCAUCGGAGAGUCGGGCCGCUUGAGAGUGCAGCCCGAAGUGGGUGAUACGGACCACCCCGAAGGCUAAGUACUCCUUGCUGACCGAUAGCGAACCAGUACCGUGAGGGAAAGGUGAAAAGCACCCCGACGAGGGGAGUGAAACAGUACCUGAAACCGGACGCCUACAAGCAGUCGGAGGGGCCUUGAGCCCUGACGGCGUACCUUUUGUAUAAUGGGUCAACGACUUGGUCUUACGAGCGAGCUUAAGCCGAUAGGUGUAGGCGCAGCGAAAGCGAGUCUUAAAAGGGCGCAUGAGUUCGUGGGAUCAGACCCGAAACCAGGUGAUCUAGCCAUGAGCAGGAUGAAGGUUGGGUAACACCAACUGGAGGUCCGAACCAACACCCGUUGAAAAGGGUCUGGAUGACUUGUGGCUAGGGGUGAAAGGCU